Molecule: ribosomal RNA, 465 nt
Filed under: uncultured bacterium
Lineage: Bacteria
Description: partial 16S ribosomal RNA
Rfam family: Bacterial small subunit ribosomal RNA
Source: RNAcentral
GACGAACGCUGGCGGCGUGCUUAACACAUGCAAGUCGAACGGAAAGGCCCCUUUGGGGGUACUCGAGUGGCGAACGGGUGAGUAACACGUGAGUAACCUGCCCUUGACUUCGGGAUAACUUCAGGAAACUGGGGCUAAUACCGGAUAGGAAUCCUUGCUGCAUGGUGGGGGUUGGAAAGCUUCGGCGGUUUUGGAUGGACUCGCGGCUUAUCAGCUUGUUGGUGGGGUAGUGGCUUACCAAGGCUUUGACGGGUAGCCGGCCUGAGAGGGCGACCGGCCACAUUGGGACUGAGAUACGGCCCAGACUCCGACGGGAGGCAACAGUGGGGAAUAUUGCACAAUGGGCGGAAGCCUGAUGCAGCAACGCCGCGUGCGGGAUGACGGCCUUCGGGUUGUAAACCGCUUUCAGCAGGGGCGAAGCUUGUGGUGACGGUACCUGCAGAAGAAGCACCGGCUAACUACGUG